RNAcentral lists this ribosomal RNA (253 nucleotides) under uncultured bacterium. RNAcentral's name for it is "partial 16S ribosomal RNA". It matches the Rfam family "Bacterial small subunit ribosomal RNA", at positions 524 to 776 of the family's 1533-position model. The record is from RNAcentral.
UACGAAGGGUGCAAGCGUUACUCGGAAUUACUGGGCGUAAAGCGUGCGUAGGUGGUUUGUUAAGUCUGAUGUGAAAGCCCUGGGCUCAACCUGGGAAUUGCAUUGGAUACUGGCAGGCUAGAGUUUGGCAGAGGGGGGUGGAAUUCCACGUGUAGCAGUGAAAUGCGUAGAGAUGUGGAGGAACACCGAUGGCGAAGGCAGCCCCCUGGGCCAAAACUGACGCUCAGGCACGAAAGCGUGGGGAGCAAACAGG